UGCCUGAUGGCUGAGUACAAGCGAUAGACUGUAGAUCUAUUAACGAAAUAAAUUUUUCUCGGGUUA
This 66-nucleotide transfer RNA is filed under the name Eubela sp. MNHN IM 2013-9671. RNAcentral describes it as "tRNA-Tyr". The record is from RNAcentral. Lineage: Eukaryota; Metazoa; Mollusca; Gastropoda; Neogastropoda; Raphitomidae.